RNAcentral lists this ribosomal RNA (108 nucleotides) under uncultured fungus. Its description in RNAcentral is "5.8S ribosomal RNA". It matches the Rfam family "5.8S ribosomal RNA", at positions 1 to 108 of the family's 154-position model. From Rfam's summary of the family: 5.8S ribosomal RNA (5.8S rRNA) is a component of the large subunit of the eukaryotic ribosome. It is transcribed by RNA polymerase I as part of the 45S precursor that also contains 18S and 28S rRNA. The record is from RNAcentral. Lineage: Eukaryota; Fungi.
AACUUUCAACAAAGGAUCUCUUGGCUCUCACAUCGAUGAAGAACGCAGCGAAGCGCGAAAUGUAGUGUGAAUCGCAGAACUUAGUGAAUCAUCGAAUCUUUGAACGCA